RNAcentral lists this transfer RNA (73 nucleotides) under Canis lupus familiaris (dog). It matches the Rfam family "tRNA". Rfam says of the family: Transfer RNA (tRNA) molecules are approximately 80 nucleotides in length. Their secondary structure includes four short double-helical elements and three loops (D, anti-codon, and T loops). Further hydrogen bonds mediate the characteristic L-shaped molecular structure. tRNAs have two regions of fundamental functional importance: the anti-codon, which is responsible for specific mRNA codon recognition, and the 3' end, to which the tRNAs corresponding amino acid is attached (by aminoacyl-tRNA synthetases). tRNAs cope with the degeneracy of the genetic code in two manners: having more than one tRNA (with a specific anti-codon) for a particular amino acid; and 'wobble' base-pairing, i.e. permitting non-standard base-pairing at the 3rd anti-codon position. RNAcentral also lists the same sequence under 1 other name. Lineage: Eukaryota; Metazoa; Chordata; Mammalia; Carnivora; Canidae. The record is from Rfam by way of RNAcentral.
AUCUGGCUGGUUCAGUUGAAAGAGCAUGUGACUCUGGAUCUCAGAGUUGUGGGUUCGAAUCCUACGUUGGGUG